RNAcentral lists this ribosomal RNA (426 nucleotides) under uncultured bacterium. RNAcentral's name for it is "bacterial SSU rRNA". It matches the Rfam family "Bacterial small subunit ribosomal RNA", at positions 507 to 931 of the family's 1533-position model. The record is from RNAcentral.
GCCAGCAGCCGCGGUAAUACGAAGGGUGCAAGCGUUACUCGGAAUUACUGGGCGUAAAGCGUGCGUAGGUGGUUGUUUAAGUCUGAUGUGAAAGCCCUGGGCUCAACCUGGGAAUGGCAUUGGAUACUGGGCAGCUAGAGUGCGGUAGAGGGUAGUGGAAUUCCCGGUGUAGCAGUGAAAUGCGUAGAGAUCGGGAGGAACAUCUGUGGCGAAGGCGACUGCCUGGACCAGCACUGACACUGAGGCACGAAAGCGUGGGGAGCAAACAGGAUUAGAUACCCUGGUAGUCCACGCCCUAAACGAUGCGAACUGGAUGUUGGGCUCAACUUGGAGCUCAGUAUCGAAGCUAACGCGUUAAGUUCGCCGCCUGGGGAGUACGGUCGCAAGACUGAAACUCAAAGGAAUUGACGGGGGCCCGCACAAGAA